Molecule: ribosomal RNA, 513 nt
Filed under: uncultured organism
Description: bacterial SSU rRNA
Rfam family: Bacterial small subunit ribosomal RNA
Source: RNAcentral
CGGGGGGUACAUCAGUGGCGAACGGGUGAGUAACACGGUGGGUGACCUUCCCCAAAGACGGGGAUAACUCUUGGAAACAUGGGCUAAUACCCGAUGUGCUCAGCAGUUCAUAUCUGUUGAGUAAAGCUAUGGCGCUUUGUGAUGGGUCCGCUGGCCAUCAGCUAGUUGGUAGGGUAAAGGCCUACCAAUGCUAACACAGGUAUGGGGCGUGAGAGCGCGAUCCCCCACACUGGCACUGAGACACGGGGCAGACUCCUACGGGAGGCAGCAGUGAGGAAUAUUGCGCAAUGGACGAAAGUCUGACGCAGGGACGCCGCCGUGGGCGAUGAAGGCCUUCGGGUCGUAAAGCCCUUGUCUUGAGCGAAGAGAAAGGACUGGUACCCCAGGAAUAAGCCCCGGGUAGCUACGUGCCAGCAACCGCGGUAAAACGUACUGGGUCAAGCGUUAUCUCGGAUUUACUGGGCGUAAAUAGCGUUUAGGCGCGGUGGUAAGUAGGGCGUGAAAGCCCUGGGC